RNAcentral lists this ribosomal RNA (1303 nucleotides) under metagenome. RNAcentral describes it as "bacterial LSU rRNA". It matches the Rfam family "Bacterial large subunit ribosomal RNA", at positions 1623 to 2925 of the family's 2925-position model. The record is from RNAcentral.
CCGGCGAACGGAAGCCUGACCGUUCUAAAAACCGACACAGGUAGGCUAGUUGAGAAGACUAAGGGGAGCGGGAGAACCUCCGCUAAGGAACUAGGCAAAAUGGCCCCGUAACUUCGGGAGAAGGGGCGCUCCUGCGGGUUAAGAGCUAGCGGGAGCUGCAAAGACCAGGCUCUGGCGACUGUUUACCAAAAACACAGGACUCUGCGAACACGAUGAGUGGACGUAUAGGGUCUGACGCCUGCCCAGUGCUGGAAGGUUAAGGGGAGUGGUCAGCGCGAGCGAAGCUACGAACCGAAGCCCCAGUAAACGGCGGCCGUAACUAUAACGGUCCUAAGGUAGCGAAAUUCCUUGUCGGGCAAGUUCCGACCUGCAUGAAUGGCGUAACGAUCGGAGCACUGUCUCAGCGGAGGGCCCGGUGAAAUUCCAAUCUUGGUGAAGAUGCCAAGUUACCCGCGAUUAGACGGCAAGACCCCAUGAAGCUUUACUGUAUCCUAAUAUGGUAUAGUGGUGGAGGGCGUACAGGAUAGGUGGGAGGCAGCGAACGCAGCGCGUCAGCGCUGCGGGAGCCGACGGUGGGAUACCACCCUCCUUCCAGCGUUAUACUAACCGAGGUAGGUGGAGAGCCUAUCAGGGACAGUGUUAGGGGGGCAGUUUGACUGGGGCGGUCGCCUCCAAAAAGGUAACGGAGGCGCGCGAAGGUGGGCUCAGGCUGGUUGGGAAUCAGCUGGCGAGUGCAAGGGCAAAAGCCCGCCUGACAGUGAGAGAGACAUCUCGAGCUGAGACGAAAGUCGGUCCUAAUGACCAGGUGGUGCUGUGUGGAAAGGCCAUCGCUCAACGGACAAAAGCUACUCUGGGGAUAACAGGCUGAUACCGUCCGAGAGUCCAUAUCGACGACGGUGUUUGGCACCUCGAUGUCGGCUCAUCGCAUCCUGGGGCUGUAGUCGGUCCCAAGGGUUGGGCUGUCCGCCCAUUAAAGCGGUACGUGAGCUGGGUUCAGAACGUCGUAAGACAGUUCGGUCCCUAUCUGUCGCGGGCGCAGGAUACUUGAGAAGGCUUCUCCCCAGUACGAGAGGACCGGGAGGAGUGGACCGCUGGUGAACCAGUUGUACUACCAAGCGCAUAAGCUGGGUAUCUAAGUCCAUGAGUGAUAAGCGCUGAAAGCAUCUAAGCGCGAAACAUGCUUCAAGAUGAGGUAUCCCAUCGAAAGAGUAAGGGCCGUUCGAGAACAGGACGUAGAUAGGCCGCAGGUGGAAGCGGUGCGAGCCGUGCAGCCGAGCGGUACUAGUCGCCCGAGGCCUUGAAC